UACGGAGGGUGCAAGCGUUAUCCGGAUUCACUGGGUUUAAAGGGUGCGUAGGCGGGCAGGUAAGUCAGUGGUGAAAUCUCAGAGCUUAACUCUGAAACUGCCAUUGAUACUAUCUGUCUUGAAUUCUCUGGAGGUGAGCGGAAUAUGCCAUGUAGCGGUGAAAUGCUUAGAUAUGACAUAGAACACCCAUUGAGAAGGCAGCUCACUACGGAGUCAUUGACGCUGAGGCACGAAAGCGUGAGGAUCAAACAGG
This 253-nucleotide ribosomal RNA is filed under the name uncultured bacterium. Its description in RNAcentral is "partial 16S ribosomal RNA". It matches the Rfam family "Bacterial small subunit ribosomal RNA", at positions 524 to 776 of the family's 1533-position model. The record is from RNAcentral.